GGGGAAUAUUGGACAAUGGGCGCAAGCCUGAUCCAGCCAUGCCGCGUGAGUGAUGACGGCCUUAGGGUUGUAAAGCUCUUUUACCUGGGAAGAUAGUGACGGUACCAGGAGAAUAAGCCCCGGCUAACUUCGUGCCAGCAGCCGCGGUAAUACGAAGGGGGCUAGCGUUGUUCGGAUUUACUGGGCGUAAAGGGCGCGUAGGCGGGCGAUUAAGUCAGGGGUGAAAUCCCAAGGCUCAACCUUGGAACUGCCUUUGAUACUGGUUGUCUUGAGUCCGGGAGAGGUGAGUGGAACUGCGAGUGUAGAGGUGAAAUUCGUAGAUAUUCGCAAGAACACCAGUGGCGAAGGCGGCUCACUGGCCCGGAACUGACGCUGAGGCGCGAAAGCGUGGGGAGCAAACA
RNAcentral lists this ribosomal RNA (401 nucleotides) under uncultured bacterium. RNAcentral describes it as "bacterial SSU rRNA". It matches the Rfam family "Bacterial small subunit ribosomal RNA", at positions 356 to 774 of the family's 1533-position model. The record is from RNAcentral.